This 688-nucleotide unclassified non-coding RNA is filed under the name Hevea brasiliensis (rubber tree). Lineage: Eukaryota; Viridiplantae; Streptophyta; Magnoliopsida; Malpighiales; Euphorbiaceae. The record is from RNAcentral.
UGUUACUAUCGUUUUAUUAACUUUUUUUAGGGUCUGUUUGGAUGAGGUUGGAGGAGGUGUAAACAAAGGGAAGGAGGGUAAGCGAUUUAUGUACCUUUAAAAAAGGUUGAAUUAGUGGAUUAGUGGAGGGUAAGUCUAAGUGUAAGUCCUCAAAUCUCCAUUUGUCAUACACGUGUAUAGGGAGCCAAACAAUUUUAUUUCUUUCACCUCUCAAAUUUAUCCUUACUACACCUCUUCCCAAACACCUAAUUUAUUAUAAACCUCCUUACCCUUCCAUUAGUAACCCUAAGACCCUUUCCUUAGUUGUAAUUUCUGUUAUUUUUUUUGUGGGCUUAAUGGUUCAGUAGUAAAUUUACGAGUCUAUGCCUUUGCGAGAUCAUUACUAUACUGGGGUGAAUAACUGAUGUAGCUUCUUAUUGUUUUAUGAUGUUUGGAUGAUAAGAAGCGUAGAAAAGUUUUUUUACCAGUAAAAUAAAUAGUUUUUGUGGAAUUAAUUAUCUUCACUUGUUAAUGGACCCGUAGAUGGUGCGUCUAUUUCUGUUAUGACCCUUUAUAAUGAGGUCCAUGUACUUAUAAGUUGAAUUUUCUAGGACCAAUGGAGCUUAUAUGCGCUGUGCGCAUUAUAUAUUUUUUUUUUAUACUGAUGUUAAUAAUUUGCAUUGCAUCUUUUUUUGCAUCUAAUUGCAGG